This 64-nucleotide transfer RNA is filed under the name Tituria pyramidata. RNAcentral describes it as "tRNA-His". Lineage: Eukaryota; Metazoa; Arthropoda; Insecta; Hemiptera; Cicadellidae. The record is from RNAcentral.
ACUUAAUUAGUUUAUUUAAAAAUAAAGGCUUGUGGAGUCUAAGAAACAACCAAAGUAUUAAGUU